Molecule: long non-coding RNA, 1876 nt
Organism: Cyprinus carpio carpio
Lineage: Eukaryota; Metazoa; Chordata; Actinopteri; Cypriniformes; Cyprinidae
Source: Ensembl
CUUUCAGUUCUGUUUGGUUCUGUAGGAUGUUAUUGUAAUUUCAUGAAGUGUCAGGUCUCAGUGUCGAGGCUAAACCUGUUAUGAUCUUGAUAUGCUUCACAUAUAUUCUCAUUUCAUUCAUGUUUAUCAUGAAGCCUGUCACCAUGGGAACCCUGCAGGACAUCAUGAGGGACAGUUGCUUUGCAGAGAUUUCGCUCCUGAUUCAGGCCAGACCACUUUUUAUCAGCUGUUUGGACUCUCAUUCUGACGGCACCCAUUCACUGCAGAGGAUCCAUUGCUGAGACAGUGAUGCAAUGCUACAUUUCUCCAGAUCUGAUGAAGAAACAAACUCAUCAACAUCAUGGAUGAGCUGAGGGUGAGUACAGUACAUUUCCUGUACAUUUUCAUUUUUUGGUGAUUUUUAGUGAAUGAAGUCAGCAGAAGUAGUUCAUCAAAACAUCUAUUGACAUUCUAUUGUUUUAUCUUAGUAAACCUAUGUCUUUCCUUCAAAUAAAUGCCUCCUUAUUUGGAUAUAGAGUAUUGUUUUCUAAAUGCUAUGACAUUCAGAUAUGUUCAAGUGAGACUGAAGUGUACAAAUACUUGUGGCUCCUGUAUAUCUGAUAAAACGUCUUCCGCUUUUGUUGUAUUCUUUGACUUAUCCAUCUAUUCAAAGGCAAACAUAACAUUCUUCAAUAGAGCUCUUCUGUGAAGGACAGUCAUUUUAUCUCCACAAACACAGAUAUGACCAUAACUUCCAUCUAAAAACAAUAAAAUCACAUGGUUCCAGUUUCUCCACUGAUUGGCUCCUCUUGCCUCGAAGGCUGACGGCACGUGUUCCAGCGGUCUGCAAAGAAAGACAGCUAUUUAUAGCUCCUGGGUGCGGCUAGGAAUAGCAACACGUGAGUCUGGAGCAGCUGUACUGGAGGAGAGGGAGAGCUGGAUUCGGCCGGCGCAGAUUCCCCAUUCACAGAACGAGCUUUCUCAGAGUCGGCCGUCUAAACACUCGGACUCUGUCCCAAAACCUAGUGAGCUGCCUUGGUGUCUAAUGCCUGUAUACACUGGCAGUCGCCUUCUAAAGCAGAUUCCUGACUGAAAUGGAAGCUCAUAAGUGACUGAUUUAGAAUGCGCUUAAUUGUCAGCAACACUGUAAAUAACACACAGGGCAUUUUUAUUGGAUUAAAUGAUAUUUAGAAUCAACGCUUGAAUUGCUUUGUGCUUUGUCUCUCAUCUUGGAUACAUUUUUUUUUUUUUUUUUAUCUUACUGAGCUUAUGGAAAUCCUUGGGAUUGCCUUCACCACAAAGGAACCAUGCAGUGCUGUCUUAAAAUGUGGCUAAAAGAAUGUUACAUAAGUUAUAAGGCAGCAUAAUUAUGCGUCUGUAGCACACAAAUUAUGCCUCAACAUGAUCAGCUCAGUAGGAUUUGGAAUAGAUCCUAAGAUACACUCAUGUUUAAAAGUUUGGGGACUUUAAUAUUUUUUUAAAUGUUUUCAAGACACUAAGGCUGUAUAUAUUUACACAAAAACGUUAAUAUAGUGAAAUAUUAUUUUAAUUUAAAAUAACUCUUUUCUAUGUGAAUGCAUGUUAAAAUGUAAUUUAUUGCUGUGAUGUGCAGCUGUAUUUUCAGCAUCAUUACUCCAGUCUUCAGUGUCACAUGCUUCUUCAGAAAUCAUUCUAAUAUACUGAGUUGCUGCUCAAGAAACAUUUCUGAUUAUUAUCAAUGUUGAAUACAGUUUUAUUUGUUUCACACAGUUUCUUUUUUUUCAUAUUUUUAAAGAAAUCUUUGGUUAUGAAUAGAACAGUAUUUAAAAAAAAAAUUAAUAAAUAAAAACUGACUGACCCCAGACAGUAGGGUAUGUGUUGUCACAUUUAUUUAGUUCAACACAAUAGAUUUCCAGUC